This 83-nucleotide transfer RNA is filed under the name Pleurotus ostreatus (oyster mushroom). RNAcentral describes it as "tRNA-Val". It matches the Rfam family "tRNA". From Rfam's summary of the family: Transfer RNA (tRNA) molecules are approximately 80 nucleotides in length. Lineage: Eukaryota; Fungi; Basidiomycota; Agaricomycetes; Agaricales; Pleurotaceae. The record is from RNAcentral.
GGUUCAAUGGUCUAAUGGUUAUGAUUUCUGUCUCACAUUGUAAUGUACACAGAAGGUUCCCAGUUCGAUCCUGGGUUGAACCA